GACGUAGGGCGCGAGCGUUGUCCGGAUUUAUUGGGCGUAAAGAGCUCGUAGGCGGCUUGUCGCGUCGUCCGUGAAAACCCACAGCUCAACUGUGGGCUUGCGGUCGAUACGGGCAGGCUAGAGUUCGGUAGGGGAGACUGGAAUUCCUGGUGUAGCGGUGAAAUGCGCAGAUAUCAGGAGGAACACCGGUGCCGAAGGCGGGUCUCUGGGCCGAUACUGACGCUGAGGAGCGAAAGCGUGGGGAGCGAACAGG
Molecule: ribosomal RNA, 253 nt
Filed under: uncultured bacterium
Lineage: Bacteria
Description: partial 16S ribosomal RNA
Rfam family: Bacterial small subunit ribosomal RNA
Source: RNAcentral